RNAcentral lists this ribosomal RNA (253 nucleotides) under uncultured bacterium. Its description in RNAcentral is "partial 16S ribosomal RNA". It matches the Rfam family "Bacterial small subunit ribosomal RNA", at positions 524 to 776 of the family's 1533-position model. The record is from RNAcentral.
UACGUAGGGUGCGAGCGUUAAUCGGAAUUACUGGGCGUAAAGCGUGCGCAGGCGGUUUGUUAAGACAGAUGUGAAAUCCCCGGGCUCAACCCGGGAACUGCGUCCGAUACUGGCAGGCUUGAAUCCGGGAGAGGGAUGUGGAAUUCCAGGUGUAGCGGUGAAAUGCGUAGAUAUCUGGAGGAACACCGGUGGCGAAGGCGGCAUCCUGGACCGGCAUUGACGCUGAGGCGCGAAAGCCAGGGGAGCAAACGGG